Molecule: ribosomal RNA, 224 nt
Filed under: Escherichia coli
Lineage: Bacteria; Pseudomonadati; Pseudomonadota; Gammaproteobacteria; Enterobacterales; Enterobacteriaceae
Description: partial 16S ribosomal RNA
Rfam family: Bacterial small subunit ribosomal RNA
Source: RNAcentral
AAAUUGAAGAGUUUGAUCAUGGCUCAGAUUGAACGCUGGCGGCAGGCCUAACACAUGCAAGUCGAACGGUAACAGGAAGCAGCUUGCUGCUUUGCUGACGAGUGGCGGACGGGUGAGUAAUGUCUGGGAAACUGCCUGAUGGAGGGGGAUAACUACUGGAAACGGUAGCUAAUACCGCAUAACGUCGCAAGACCAAAGAGGGGGACCUUCGGGCCUCUUGCCAU